RNAcentral lists this transfer RNA (72 nucleotides) under Ovis aries (sheep). It matches the Rfam family "tRNA". Rfam says of the family: Transfer RNA (tRNA) molecules are approximately 80 nucleotides in length. Their secondary structure includes four short double-helical elements and three loops (D, anti-codon, and T loops). Lineage: Eukaryota; Metazoa; Chordata; Mammalia; Artiodactyla; Bovidae. The record is from Rfam by way of RNAcentral.
UCCCUGGUGGCUCAGAGGUUACAGCGUCUGCCUCCAAUGCGGGAGACCUGGGUUCGAUUCCUGGGUUGGGAA